AUUGAACGCUGGCGGCAGGCCUAACACAUGCAAGUCGAACGGUAACAGGAAACAGCUUGCUGUUUCGCUGACGAGUGGCGGACGGGUGAGUAAUGUCUGGGAAACUGCCUGAUGGAGGGGGAUAACUACUGGAAACGGUAGCUAAUACCGCAUAACGUCGCAAGACCAAAGAGGGGGACCCUCGGGCCUCUUGCCAUCGGAUGUGCCCAGAUGGGAUUAGCUUGUUGGUGGGGUAACGGCUCACCAAGGCGACGAUCCCUAGCUGGUCUGAGAGGAUGACCAACCACACUGGAACUGAGACACGGUCCAGACUCCUACGGGAGGCAGCAGUGGGGAAUAUUGCACAAUGGGCGCAAGCCUGAUGCAGCCAUGCCGCGUGUAUGAAGAAGGCCUUCGGGUUGUAAAGUACUUUCAGCGGGGAGGAAGGGAGUAAAGUUAAUACCUUUGCUCAUUGACGUUACCCGCAGAAGAAGCACCGGCUAACUCCGUG
Molecule: ribosomal RNA, 490 nt
Filed under: uncultured bacterium
Lineage: Bacteria
Description: partial 16S ribosomal RNA
Rfam family: Bacterial small subunit ribosomal RNA
Source: RNAcentral